UACGUAGGUGGCAAGCGUUGUCCGGAUUUACUGGGCGUAAAGAGCGCGCAGGCGGCUGGGUCAGUCCGAUGUGAAAGCUCCCGGCUUAACUGGGAAAUUGCAUCGGAAACUGCUCAGCUUGAAGGUGGGAGAGGGUAGCGGAAUUCCCGGUGUAGUGGUGAAAUGCGUAGAUAUCGGGAGGAACACCAGUGGCGAAGGCGGCUACCUGGCCCACUCUUGACGCUGAGGCGCGAAAGCUAGGGGAGCAAACGGGAUUAGAAACCCCCGUAGUCC
This 273-nucleotide ribosomal RNA is filed under the name uncultured bacterium. RNAcentral's name for it is "partial 16S ribosomal RNA". It matches the Rfam family "Bacterial small subunit ribosomal RNA", at positions 524 to 796 of the family's 1533-position model. The record is from RNAcentral.